UUAUACAAUGGAGAGUUUGAUCCUGGCUCAGGAUGAACGCUAGCGGCAGGCCUAAUACAUGCAAGUCGAACGGGCGG
RNAcentral lists this ribosomal RNA (77 nucleotides) under Hymenobacter sp. BT491. RNAcentral's name for it is "partial 16S ribosomal RNA". It matches the Rfam family "Bacterial small subunit ribosomal RNA", at positions 1 to 73 of the family's 1533-position model. The record is from RNAcentral. Lineage: Bacteria; Pseudomonadati; Bacteroidota; Cytophagia; Cytophagales; Hymenobacteraceae.